UGUUCUGUAGCUUAGUUGGUUAAAGCGCCGGACUAGCGAUAACGGAGUCGUGGGUUCGAAUCCCACCAAAGCAA
Molecule: non-coding RNA, 74 nt
Organism: Aedes albopictus (Asian tiger mosquito)
Lineage: Eukaryota; Metazoa; Arthropoda; Insecta; Diptera; Culicidae
Source: Rfam